UUCCUUCGGCACCGACGCCAACGGCAUGGCGGUCAAGAACGCCUGCGAGGUUCUGCACCAGCGACUGGAGCCGAUCAGACUGAAAAACCCCAAAGGAUCAUGGGAGAGUUGGGUCCAAGAAGCUUUUUUGGAUAAAAUCAGUUUAUCAGCCACUGGAUUCUUCAGAGGUAAGGACCUCUACAUGGACUGG
Molecule: long non-coding RNA, 190 nt
Organism: Nematolebias whitei (Rio pearlfish)
Lineage: Eukaryota; Metazoa; Chordata; Actinopteri; Cyprinodontiformes; Rivulidae
Exons: 4
Source: RefSeq, a predicted model, not a curated record